AUGGAUUCCAUGAAAGGAGUGAGAAUACCAAGAGAUGGAAUGAGAAAUGUGACAAUGAAUUCAAUGCUUGAGCUAUAUCUACCGAUGGUCUGA
This is a non-coding RNA of Vicia faba (fava bean), 93 nucleotides long. The record is from the annotation of a GenBank genome assembly. NCBI's taxonomy places the organism in Eukaryota, Viridiplantae, Streptophyta, Magnoliopsida, Fabales, Fabaceae.